This 1039-nucleotide long non-coding RNA is filed under the name Capra hircus (goat). RNAcentral describes it as "lncRNA (ENSCHIG00010007713.1)". The record is from RNAcentral. Lineage: Eukaryota; Metazoa; Chordata; Mammalia; Artiodactyla; Bovidae.
AUGAGGAGUACAUCGGUGACAGCAUAAAUGGCUAAAAAAACAUCUAGUAUACGAAAGUACACAGAAAGUAUACUUUUUCAUAUACUUUUCUCAAGUACACACAAAAAAUGUAGCAUUCAAAUUUUUAAUCUCUCCAGGUUUUCUGAAUAAUGUGCAUUAAACAGUUAUCAAUGAUGUAACAAAGAUUAUUCAGUGUUCAAAUGCCUAGACACAUCACUAUUUUGAAGAAAGGAUUUUCCAUGAAGCAGUCAUUAAAUUUUUUCGCUGUGGUUUGACCCUUUUAUUUAGAAACAGCAAUAAACAUUUCGGUUAUGGCUUUGAAAAGAGAAAAUGAAUGCUUUCUUCAGAGAGAAAAAAAAAAAAACAGGAGGAACAGAGAGAAGGGCGGAAGAAUGGCUGGUCCUUUGCUAGCCGAGGUACCUACAAGCUGUGAACAAAAUGAGGAAAUGCUGGAGCCUUCUACACCUCUGCCUCUCGCUAGAGCAGCGCACAGUCCUCAGCCUCCCAGCCCCAAUGGGGAAGCAGCAACCUUUGGCACAAUCUGGCACAGAGUGGUUCUGGCACUGUCCUCUUUGGCCUCUGGACAAGAAUGUUCACUUACACAUCCCAAGUUAUCCUAAGUCCAUCUGUUGUGUUCUGGGGAUCAGAAACAAAUGUGGGACACUCCCCUGUCCUGUGACCACCCUCUCUCUCAGGCUCUGACUUGCUUUCACAAGCAUUUGGGGAAAAGCCCAGACUUGUCUCAGGAGGAUUGUCUGGGAGGCAGAGCUGAGCCCACAGCCAGUGGCACCACUGCCCCCUGACCUCACCCAGGGCAGGGUGAAUCAACUGACAGCCCCAAUAAACAGUGGGGACGAGGGACUGCUGGGUCUCCCAGAGUCUUCAGUUUGGAGAUAAGCCACACAGUUUGGUUCAUUUCUUGGUAGAGACAGAGCUAUAAGGAAACUUCAAGAUGAUUUUACAGAAGGAAGACUCAUGAGGGUGAGCAAGGUCAAGCAACUCAUGCUGGUCACACACUGAGUUACAGAAGGGUUGGGAU